UUUGCCACAGGACAGCAGUACCUUGUUGUCCAAAAAGCGGCGCCAAAGCAGCAUUUCCUCCUUAAAGGUGGCCUCGGGCAGGUCAACCCAGAUGAAGAAGCCUGCCCCACGGCCGAGGAAGGGGAUCCCCAGGGCCCGGAGCUCUCCUGCGACAUAGGUGUGGGCAGCCUUGAGCCGGGCAUGGUUCUCAGAAGCACCCAUGAUGCCUGGCCAGUCCCCGACUGACUACAACCUUCCCCCCAGUUCUCAAGUGACGGGGCCCAGGCAGUCACCACGGUCCCCGAGCAGCUGUGCCAUCUGGUACUGGACCAAGCCACUGAGGCCGUGAUAGCGGCAGAGGGAAGCCACCGCAGUGGCCACGUCCCGGUUCUCUGUGUACAGCGUGCCGAAGCGGAGCCCAGACAUCCCGAAGUCCUGCAGGAGAAAGGCACCCGGUGGCCAUCCCGCCACACAGGAAGCUGGUUCCACCCACCUCUCUGCCCUCUCACCUCCCCGACACCCCCGAGGCCAUACAGGAACCUACCUUGCUGGUCGCCCACAUUACAUGGGUCCUCUGGGGGUCAGGCAACCUGCAGAGAGCACAGUGUGGGAACAUGGGAACACAGAUCCACCACAAAGGCUCACACACGUUCGGCUGAACAAAUGAGAUGGGUGGACGAAUUCGGUUCCGGUUCUUGUGUGAAGCUCCGGUCUCAUCUCUUGAAUCAGCAAUUCCUACACAUCCUUUAGAGCAAGAGUCGGCAGACGUAGCCUGCAGGCUAAACCCAGCCCACUGCCUGUUUCCGUAAAUAAAGCUUUACUGGAACACA
Lynx canadensis (Canada lynx) is the source of this 809-nucleotide long non-coding RNA. RefSeq lists it as uncharacterized. The transcript has 3 exons. The record is from RefSeq and is a predicted model, not a curated record. NCBI's taxonomy places the organism in Eukaryota, Metazoa, Chordata, Mammalia, Carnivora, Felidae.